CACCGAGGCUGGAUGCAGUGGCAGGAUCUCAGCUGCAACCUCCACCUCCCAGACUCAAGGGAGCUUCCCAGCCUCCCAAAUAGCUGGGACUACAGGUGUGCACCACCACACCUGGCUAAUUUUUUGAAUUUUUUUGGUAGAGACUGGGUUUUGCUAUGUUGCCUAGGCUGGUCUUGAACUAAUAGGCUCAAGCAGUCCGACUGCCUCAGCCUCCCAAAGUUUUGGGAUUACAGGCGUGAGCCAUCAGGCCGAGCAUUCAUACUUACUUUUGAAUAAUGAGUUUCGGAAACUAUAUUUAGCUACAAAGUUAAUUCUCCCUCAACACUUUACAAAAUAUUGCACCAAUACCUUCAAUUGUUCGUUGUUGAUUAUAAGGAAAUCUGUCGUGACACGUACUUCAGAAUUCACAAGGCAACAGGAAAAAAAAAUGUUCAUGAGGGAAGAAAACCAAGUGAAUAACCCAGGAAAGUUGGUGAACUGUGACAUGUGUUGGACUCAUGUGAACCAUGAAUAUGUAUUACAGGGCUAGUAAAUCAAACCCCCAAAAACUUUCUCCACCGAACUUCACCUGUAACCUCUACCAUUUAAAGGAAUUUCCAUUUCUGUGAGGUUCCCAAGAUUUGCUAAAUCUACCAGCCUGGUAAGAGCUCACCUUCUUUACUAUGUAUAAGACUGGGAAUGCAUUAGUCAGGCAUCAUGUCAGUUUUCAUAGGAGGUCUUUUUAAGCCAUACAUCUAUGUAUUAAGUCAACUUUGUUCUUUAAUAGUGGUUCAUCAUAACUGAUUGAAUGAGAAUUUAUCUCAAAUAUGCCACCAAAAGUAAGGUCGUGGUUACAUAAGAAAUUUGUGCAAUUAUAUUCUGGAUUAAAAGGAGGAAAGAUUCUACUUCAAUCUGUGAACAAAAGUGAGCUUGAAAGAGCAAAUCCCUCAAGAUGGAUUCCAAGUAGCUAACUGGGCCUAAAUUUAAAAUAGAGCCAAGCAGCCACUUCCUGACUACAGGACACACACACACACUCUGACUUCCCGCUAAACCCGCACCUCUUUAAAUCUGGGAGUUUUCAGAGCUCUGCUGUAUCAACCAGUUACAGCUGAGAUGAAUUGCCCAAUCAGAACUCAGCUAUAUUGACCAAUCACAACUAAGUAAACUUGAAUCCUUUGUCUGCAUAAAUGAACCUGAUUGGGAACCCGAAUGAGAGCUUUUGCUAUAAAAUCCAAACCCUGGCCAGGAACAGUGACUUCUGCCUGUAAUCCCACCACUUUGGGAUGUUGAGGCAGGAAGAUGGGUUGAGGCGAGGAGUUUGAGGCCAGCCGGGGCAACAUAGUGAGACCCCCCAAACAAUUUUUUGUAAAUUGCUCUACAAAAAGCAAUUAAAAAAAAAACCCAAGCCCUCUGUUUGUUCUCUGGAAUACACUUUCAUUUUAUACUGAAGGCUGUAUCUUCCCACUUUGAGAACUGUUCACUGUCACAAAGUCUCUUUCCCUCAAAUUCUGAUGUAGAGAACUUCUGUUUACAAAAUCUAUACAAAUGACUCUAUUGCCAUGAAGCACAAAGGGUAUCUAGUAAAAGUUUCUGAAUUCUGGGUUUCACUGAGAAGCAGAUGUAAGUUUAAAAUGUUUCAUUUUUAUUUAUAAAGCAAUCUAUUAAUUUAAGCCUUAAACGUCACUCAAGAAAAGACAGGAUUUCCUUAUAUAGCCAUAAAAAAUAGAGCAUUAAAAUGGCACCAACAAUAUCUCAAAUAACUAGAAAAAAAAUGGCACCAACAAUAUUUUAAACAAAUAACUAGAAAAAAAUUUUUCUAGUCAGUUCGAUGAGUGCUAUUUCAGGGCUCCCUAGCCCCAGGCCACCCUGUGACCAGCUAAGAACCAGGCCACACAGCAGAAAGAUGAGCAGCAGGCAAGCAAGCAUUACCACCUGAGCUCUGCCUCCUGUUAGAUCAGCGGCAACAUUAGAUUCUCGUAGGAGCACAAACACUAUUGUGAACUGCACUUGCGAGGGAUCUAGGUUGGGCUGCUUGCUUAUGAGAAUCUAACUAAUGCCUGAUGAACUGAAGUGAAACAGUUUCAUCCCUAAACCAUCCCUCCACCUUUCCCCUAGCCCAUCGAAAAACUGUCUUCCACAAAACUGGU
Long non-coding RNA from Pan troglodytes (chimpanzee), 2126 nucleotides. RefSeq lists it as uncharacterized. The transcript is spliced from 3 exons. The record is from RefSeq and is a predicted model, not a curated record. Lineage: Eukaryota; Metazoa; Chordata; Mammalia; Primates; Hominidae.